Molecule: ribosomal RNA, 467 nt
Filed under: uncultured bacterium
Lineage: Bacteria
Description: bacterial SSU rRNA
Rfam family: Bacterial small subunit ribosomal RNA
Source: RNAcentral
GCGGCAGGCCUAACACUGCAAGUCGAGGGGUAACAGGGAAAAGCUUGCUUUUCCGCUGACGACCGGCGCACGGGUGCGUAACGCGUAUGCAACCUACCUCUUACUGGGGUAUAGCCCAGAGAAAUUUGGAUUAAUCCCCCAUAGUACCAUUUAAUCGCAUGGUUGAAUGGUUAAAGGUUACGGUAAGAGAUGGGCAUGCGUCCCAUUAGUUAGUUGGUGAGGUAAUGGCUCACCAAGACUCCGAUGGGUAGGGGUUCUGAGAGGAUGAUCCCCCACACUGGUACUGAGACACGGACCAGACUCCUACGGGAGGCAGCAGUGAGGAAUAUUGCGCAAUGGACGAAAGUCUGACGCAGCCAUGCCGCGUGCAGGAUGACGGCGCUAUGCGUUGUAAACUGCUUUUAUUUACAAAGAAACCUCGGGACGUGUCCCGAGCUGACGGUAGUAUUUGAAUAAGCACCGGCUAA